UCCCAUGUGGCUCAGUUGAUAGAGCAUGGUACUUGCAAUGCCAGGUUUGUUGGUUCGAUUCCCACAGGGGAC
Molecule: non-coding RNA, 72 nt
Organism: Salmo salar (Atlantic salmon)
Lineage: Eukaryota; Metazoa; Chordata; Actinopteri; Salmoniformes; Salmonidae
Source: Rfam